AAAAGAGCAACAAACCAAGAAGACUAUGA
RNAcentral lists this small RNA (29 nucleotides) under Arabidopsis thaliana (thale cress). RNAcentral describes it as "ATSL107820". The record is from RNAcentral. Lineage: Eukaryota; Viridiplantae; Streptophyta; Magnoliopsida; Brassicales; Brassicaceae.